Molecule: ribosomal RNA, 402 nt
Filed under: bacterium
Lineage: Bacteria
Description: partial 16S ribosomal RNA
Rfam family: Bacterial small subunit ribosomal RNA
Source: RNAcentral
UGGGGAAUUUUGCACAAUGGGGGAAACCCUGAUGCAGCGACGCCGCGUGAUUUAGAAGGCCUUCGGGUUGUAAAAAUCUUUUCUAUGGGAAGAAAAUGACAGUACCAUAGGAAUAAGGACCGGCUAAUUACGUGCCAGCAGCCGCGGUAAUACGUAAGGUCCGAGCGUUGUCCGGAAUCAUUGGGCGUAAAGGGUACGUAGGCGGGUAAGCAAGUUAGAAGUGAAAUCCUAUAGCUCAACUAUAGUAAGCUUUUAAAACUGCUCAUCUUGAGGUAUGGAAGGGAAAGGGGAAUUCCGAGUGUAGCGGUGAAAUGCGCAGAUAUUAGGAGGAAUACCGGUGGCGAAGGCGACUUUCUGGCCAUAACCUGACGCUGAGGUACGAAAGAGUGGGUAGCAAACAGG